RNAcentral lists this ribosomal RNA (482 nucleotides) under uncultured bacterium. RNAcentral's name for it is "partial 16S ribosomal RNA". It matches the Rfam family "Bacterial small subunit ribosomal RNA", at positions 28 to 506 of the family's 1533-position model. The record is from RNAcentral.
GACGAACGCUGGCGGCGUGCUUAACACAUGCCAGUCGAACGCUGAAGCUCAGCUUUUGUUGGGUGGAUGAGUGGCGAACGGGUGAGUAACACGUGAGUAACCUGCCCCCUUCUUUGGGAUAACGUCCGGAAACGGGUGCUAAUACUGGAUAUUCACUGGUCUUCGCAUGGGGGUUGGUGGAAAGGGUUUUUCUGGUGGGGGAUGGGCUCGCGGCCUAUCAGCUUGUUGGUGGGGUGAUGGCCUACCAAGGCUUUGACGGGUAGCCGGCCUGAGAGGGUGACCGGUCACAUUGGGACUGAGAUACGGCCCAGAAUCCUACGGGAGGCAGCAGUGGGGAAUAUUGCACAAUGGGCGCAAGCCUGAUGCAGCGACGCCGCGUGAGGGAUGGAGGCCUUCGGGUUGUGAACCUCUUUCGCUCAUGGUCAAGCCGCAACAAUGGUUGUGGGGAGGGUAGUGGGUAAAGAAGCGCCGGCUAACUACGU